RNAcentral lists this transfer RNA (66 nucleotides) under human gut metagenome. It matches the Rfam family "tRNA", at positions 7 to 64 of the family's 71-position model. From Rfam's summary of the family: Transfer RNA (tRNA) molecules are approximately 80 nucleotides in length. Their secondary structure includes four short double-helical elements and three loops (D, anti-codon, and T loops). The record is from RNAcentral. RNAcentral also lists the same sequence under 3 other names.
GCGGGAUAGCUCAGCAGGUUAGAGCGUCGGAUUCAUAACCCGGAGGUCUCGAGUUCAAUUCUCGAU